RNAcentral lists this ribosomal RNA (561 nucleotides) under Triticum aestivum (bread wheat). RNAcentral's name for it is "partial small subunit ribosomal RNA". The record is from RNAcentral. Lineage: Eukaryota; Viridiplantae; Streptophyta; Magnoliopsida; Poales; Poaceae.
GGGACUGACAGGGAUAAUUAGUAAUGAGGCUAGGGCUUCCGGUUGUGUUAUCCUGGCCUUAGGAUACUACAAUAGGGUACGAUUACAUAGGUCUCGCUACCGAACGAAACUCGUGAGAUUAAAGAAGUUUCAUUGCUACGGCCUUUGUGCUUGGCCGGUGAAGUCCGAUCCUCGCGCUACGGCCGGCUUCCCAGCUCAUCCAGCCACGAGCGGCACUCCGCCUGGCCGGCUGGGCCGGGUUCCAGGUUGAUGCUCGAAAAAUUGACGUUGUUGAAUUUAUAUGCGAUAACCUCGACCUUAAUGGCACCGACGACCGUGGUCUGAACUGGAGGUUACCUAGGAGCAAUUCCCUAAAUCUAACAUGAGUAAGGUUUAUGGUCUGUGAUUACGUGGGCCAUAAAAAUAAAUAACGGUGAUGGAGGGGCACAGUCCUAACCCAUUAAACGCGCGGACGACGGAAGGAACCUACACCAUCGGCAAAGAGUCCGAGGGAGAGGCCUUAGCUUGGGAUUAAGAGGCAGUGGGCAGUGGUGGUACCAUCCGGGGAUAGGAUGGUAGCUU